Molecule: ribosomal RNA, 1171 nt
Filed under: Lactiplantibacillus plantarum
Lineage: Bacteria; Bacillati; Bacillota; Bacilli; Lactobacillales; Lactobacillaceae
Description: bacterial SSU rRNA
Rfam family: Bacterial small subunit ribosomal RNA
Source: RNAcentral
GGCGAUGGGGCGCUAUAAUGCAGUCGACGAACUCUGGUAUUGAUUGGUGCUUGCAUCAUGAUUUACAUUUGAGUGAGUGGCGAACUGGUGAGUAACACGUGGGAAACCUGCCCAGAAGCGGGGGAUAACACCUGGAAACAGAUGCUAAUACCGCAUAACAACUUGGACCGCAUGGUCCGAGUUUGAAAGAUGGCUUCGGCUAUCACUUUUGGAUGGUCCCGCGGCGUAUUAGCUAGAUGGUGGGGUAACGGCUCACCAUGGCAAUGAUACGUAGCCGACCUGAGAGGGUAAUCGGCCACAUUGGGACUGAGACACGGCCCAAACUCCUACGGGAGGCAGCAGUAGGGAAUCUUCCACAAUGGACGAAAGUCUGAUGGAGCAACGCCGCGUGAGUGAAGAAGGGUUUCGGCUCGUAAAACUCUGUUGUUAAAGAAGAACAUAUCUGAGAGUAACUGUUCAGGUAUUGACGGUAUUUAACCAGAAAGCCACGGCUAACUACGUGCCAGCAGCCGCGGUAAUACGUAGGUGGCAAGCGUUGUCCGGAUUUAUUGGGCGUAAAGCGAGCGCAGGCGGUUUUUUAAGUCUGAUGUGAAAGCCUUCGGCUCAACCGAAGAAGUGCAUCGGAAACUGGGAAACUUGAGUGCAGAAGAGGACAGUGGAACUCCAUGUGUAGCGGUGAAAUGCGUAGAUAUAUGGAAGAACACCAGUGGCGAAGGCGGCUGUCUGGUCUGUAACUGACGCUGAGGCUCGAAAGUAUGGGUAGCAAACAGGAUUAGAUACCCUGGUAGUCCAUACCGUAAACGAUGAAUGCUAAGUGUUGGAGGGUUUCCGCCCUUCAGUGCUGCAGCUAACGCAUUAAGCAUUCCGCCUGGGGAGUACGGCCGCAAGGCUGAAACUCAAAGGAAUUGACGGGGGCCCGCACAAGCGGUGGAGCAUGUGGUUUAAUUCGAAGCUACGCGAAGAACCUUACCAGGUCUUGACAUACUAUGCAAAUCUAAGAGAUUAGACGUUCCCUUCGGGGACAUGGAUACAGGGUGGCUGCAUGAUUGUCGUCAGCUCGUGUCGUGAGAUGGUUGGUUAAGUCCCGCAACGAGCGCACCUUAUAUCAGUUGCCAGCAUAAGUGGCACUCUGAUGAGACUGGCGGUGAACAACCGGCAGGAAGGGUGGGGG